CCGGACCGGCGCACGGGUGAGUAACGCGUAUGCAACUUACCUAUCAGAGGGGGAUAACCCGGCGAAAGUCGGACUAAUACCGCAUGAAGCAGGGGCCCCGCAUGGGGAUAUUUGCUAAAGAUUCAUCGCUGAUAGAUAGGCAUGCGUUCCAUUAGGCAGUUGGCGGGGUAACGGCCCACCAAACCGACGAUGGAUAGGGGUUCUGAGAGGAAGGUCCCCCACAUUGGCACUGAGACACGGACCAAACUCCUACGGAAGGCAGCAG
This 265-nucleotide ribosomal RNA is filed under the name uncultured bacterium. RNAcentral's name for it is "partial 16S ribosomal RNA". It matches the Rfam family "Bacterial small subunit ribosomal RNA", at positions 90 to 354 of the family's 1533-position model. The record is from RNAcentral.